GAAACACCUGUUAUAUCGUUAAAGUUUUAAUUGUUUUGCAGCACACUGCUUCUAGCCGGCUUUCCCAUUAGCAUCACUAGCCCGUUACCCCGGCUAUCACAAGUUUGUUUAUGCUCUUUCACACCGUUUAUUUUCGUUUUUAGACACCAUGUCGGUUGUGUUUCUGCCUCUGAGUGCAGGUGAGGAUACAUUGCACUUGGUGGAUUUAAAGCUGGAGGCCGUGGAGAAGCUGAUCCGAGACCUACAGGUGAAGCCAGCCUGGCAACAGCAGUGAAAAGCCACGCUGGAAUCGUCGUGGACUGACGCUCACCUGUCCCAGGUGCCUGCAGCUCUGAGGAAAAACAUUGGAGCUGUGGUCCUUCAUGCUGGCACGAACAACACUAGGCUGAGGCAGACGGAGAUCCUAAAGAAGGACUUCAGGAACCUGGUUGAGAAGGUCCGCAGCACAUCACCCACAACAAGAAUCGUCUUAUCUGGACCGCUUCCCACAUUUUAGCGAGGAAUCAAGAGUCUCAGUAGAUUGUUUGCUUUUAAUGAAUGGUUACAAUCAUGGUGUCAACAACAGAGAUUACCCUUUGUUGAUAACUGGAAUGUUUUCUGGGAGAGUCCUAGGCUCUACCACACCGAUGGUCCUCUCUGACAACAUUUCCAGGACAUUACCAACCAUCUGACUGGCGGCAUCUGGAGAUGGUGCCAGCUACACAUGCUGCUCCUGUGCUUCCAGUGAUCCAGACCCUAUCUCCCCUUUGCACCUACUGACUCAUCCCUAUGCUGAACUGGAGUUCAUGUUAAUUUAAAGACUUUGUUAUAUUGAACUUUCAGCUGCAUAACACACAAUGUUGUAUAAUUUCUGUUUUCACCCAAAUGAGGAUGUGUUCCCUGUUGAGUCUGGUUCCUCUCAAGGUUUCUUCCUAUUGCCAUCUCGGGGAGUUUUUCCUUGCCACUGUCGCCGUCGCCCUUGGCUUGCUUAUCAGGGACAUUUCAUUUAUCGUAUUAUCUAAACACAUUUUUCUCCCACAUACAGUACACUUUUUUUUUAAUUGAAAUUGAAAAAAUAAAUUUCUUUCAUUUUUGUGAAGCUGCUUUGA
This is a long non-coding RNA of Clarias gariepinus (North African catfish), 1088 nucleotides long. RefSeq lists it as uncharacterized. NCBI's taxonomy places the organism in Eukaryota, Metazoa, Chordata, Actinopteri, Siluriformes, Clariidae. The transcript has 3 exons. The record is from RefSeq and is a predicted model, not a curated record.